This 493-nucleotide ribosomal RNA is filed under the name uncultured bacterium. RNAcentral describes it as "partial 16S ribosomal RNA". It matches the Rfam family "Bacterial small subunit ribosomal RNA", at positions 28 to 506 of the family's 1533-position model. The record is from RNAcentral.
GACGAACGCUGGCGGCGCGCUUAACACAUGCAAGUCGAACGGAAAGGCCUGCUUUCCCUUGUGGAUUGCGGGUACUCGAGUGGCGAACGGGUGAGUAACACGUGAGUGAUCUGCCCCCAACUUGGGUAUAAGCCUGGGAAACUGGGUCUAAUUCCCGAUAGGACUGCAGGGUGGUGCCUGUGGUGGAAAACGAUUUUCUAGUGGUUGGGGAUGAGCUCGCGGCCUAUCAGCUUGUUGGUGGGGUAAUGGCCUACCAAGGCGGCGACGGGUAGCCGGCCUGGGAGGGUGGACGGCCACAUUGGGACUGAGAUACGGCCCAGACUCCUACGGGAGGCAGCAGUGGGGAAUAGUGCACAAUGGGCGGAAGCCUGAUGCAGCGACGCCGCGUGGGGGAUGACGGCCUUCGGGGUGUAAACUCCUUUCGACCGCGAGGAAGCCACCUGGUUGGAAGGGUGGUGACGGUAGUGGUAGAAGAAGCACCGGCUAACUACGU